This 572-nucleotide ribosomal RNA is filed under the name uncultured bacterium. RNAcentral's name for it is "bacterial SSU rRNA". It matches the Rfam family "Bacterial small subunit ribosomal RNA", at positions 151 to 718 of the family's 1533-position model. The record is from RNAcentral.
UCGAAAGGAACGCUAAUACCGCAUACGUCCUACGGGAGAAAGCAGGGGACCUUCGGGCCUUGCGCUAUCAGAUGAGCCUAGGUCGGAUUAGCUAGUUGGUGAGGUAAUGGCUCACCAAGGCGACGAUCCGUAACUGGUCUGAGAGGAUGAUCAGUCACACUGGAACUGAGACACGGUCCAGACUCCUACGGGAGGCAGCAGUGGGGAAUAUUGGACAAUGGGCGAAAGCCUGAUCCAGCCAUGCCGCGUGUGUGAAGAAGGUCUUCGGAUUGUAAAGCACUUUAAGUUGGGAGGAAGGGUUGUAGAUUAAUACUCUGCAAUUUUGACGUUACCGACAGAAUAAGCACCGGCUAACUCUGUGCCAGCAGCCGCGGUAAUACAGAGGGUGCAAGCGUUAAUCGGAAUUACUGGGCGUAAAGCGCGCGUAGGUGGUUUGUUAAGUUGGAUGUGAAAUCCCCGGGCUCAACCUGGGAACUGCAUCCAAAACUGGCAAGCUAGAGUAUGGUAGAGGGUGGUGGAAUUUCCUGUGUAGCGGUGAAAUGCGUAGAUAUAGGAAGGAACACCAGUGGCGA